This 499-nucleotide ribosomal RNA is filed under the name uncultured bacterium. RNAcentral describes it as "bacterial SSU rRNA". It matches the Rfam family "Bacterial small subunit ribosomal RNA", at positions 791 to 1289 of the family's 1533-position model. The record is from RNAcentral.
UAGUCCACGCCGUAAACGAUGUCUACUAGCUGUUUGUGUCCUUGAGGCGUGAGUGGCGCAGCUAACGCACUAAGUAGACCGCCUGGGGAGUACGGUCGCAAGAUUAAAACUCAAAUGAAUUGACGGGGGCCCGCACAAGCGGUGGAGCAUGUGGUUUAAUUCGAUGCAACGCGAAGAACCUUACCAUCCCUUGACAUCCAGAGAAUUUCACAGAGAUGUGAUAGUGCCUUCGGGAACUCUGAGACAGGUGCUGCAUGGCUGUCGUCAGCUCGUGUUGUGAAAUGUCGGGUUAAGUCCCGCAACGAGCGCAACCCUUAUCCUUAGUUGCCAAGCGAUUCGGUCGGGAACUCUAAGGAGACUGCCGGUGACAAACCGGAGGAAGGUGGGGACGACGUCAAGUCAUCAUGGCCUUACGGGAUGGGCUACACACGUGCUACAAUGGACGGUACAGAGGGCGGCGAGCCAGCGAUGGUUAGCGAAUCUCUUAAAAGCCGUUCGU